AACCCAUGGUGAAGACAUAUUCUUAGCAAAUCCUUAUACCUCUCCCAAGCUUCAUAUAAUGUUUCAGAGUCAAGUUGCACAAAAAAGGUGAUAUCAUUACGUGUUU
Molecule: small nucleolar RNA, 106 nt
Filed under: Theobroma cacao (cacao)
Lineage: Eukaryota; Viridiplantae; Streptophyta; Magnoliopsida; Malvales; Malvaceae
Description: Plant small nucleolar RNA R71
Rfam family: Plant small nucleolar RNA R71
About the family: R71 is a member of the C/D box family of snoRNAs containing the C (UGAUGA) and D (CUGA) box motifs. Multiple nearly identical copies of this snoRNA have been identified in Arabidopsis, and it is thought to function as a 2'-O-ribose methylation guide for 18S ribosomal RNA.
Source: Rfam by way of RNAcentral